CCCUUAGACGUUCUGGGCCGCACGCGCGCUACACUGACGAAGGCAACGAGCUUUCCUUUACCGAAAGGUACGGGUAAUCUUUUGAAACUUCGUCGUGCUGGGGAUAGAUCCUUGCAAUUUUUGAUCUUAAACGAGGAAUGCCUAGUAAGCGCAAGUCAUCAACUUGCGUUGAUUACGUCCCUGCCCUUUGUACACACCGCCCGUCGCUACUACCGAUUGAAUGGUUUAGUGAGGCCUUCGGAUCCGCGACUCGUUUGUGGAGAAGUUGAACAAACUCAGUCAUUUAGAGGAAGUAAAAGUCGUAACA
Molecule: ribosomal RNA, 307 nt
Filed under: uncultured eukaryote
Lineage: Eukaryota
Description: partial 18S ribosomal RNA
Rfam family: Eukaryotic small subunit ribosomal RNA
Source: RNAcentral